This 31-nucleotide non-coding RNA is filed under the name Mus musculus (house mouse). The record is from RNAcentral. Lineage: Eukaryota; Metazoa; Chordata; Mammalia; Rodentia; Muridae.
UAACAAGUGAGACAUCCGACCGGUGCCCAGU